Molecule: ribosomal RNA, 806 nt
Filed under: uncultured bacterium
Lineage: Bacteria
Description: bacterial SSU rRNA
Rfam family: Bacterial small subunit ribosomal RNA
Source: RNAcentral
CAGAUGUGAAAGCCCCGGGCUCAACCUGGGAACUGCAUUUGGAACUGGGGAGCUAGAGUUUGGAAGAGGAGAGUGGAAUUUCAGGUGUAGCGGUGAAAUGCGUAGAGAUCUGAAGGAACAUCAGUGGCGAAGGCGACUCUCUGGUCUAAAACUGACGCUCAGGUACGAAAGCGUGGGUAGCAAACAGGAUUAGAUACCCUGGUAGUCCACGCUGUAAACGAUGUCAACUAGCCGUUGGCUCUCAUAAGAGAGUUAGUGGCGCAGCUAACGCAUUAAGUUGACCGCCUGGGGAGUACGGCCGCAAGGUUAAAACUCAAAUGAAUUGACGGGGGCCCGCACAAGCGGUGGAGCAUGUGGUUUAAUUCGAUGCAACGCGAAGAACCUUACCUACCCUUGACAUCCAAAGAAUUACGUAGAGAUAUGUAAGUGCCUUUCAGGAACUUUGAGACAGGUGCUGCAUGGCUGUCGUCAGCUCGUGUUGUGAAAUGUUGGGUUAAGUCCCGUAACGAGCGCAACCCUUAUCCUUAGUUGCCAACAGGUCAAGCUGGGAACUCUAAGGAGACCGCCGGUGAUAAACCGGAGGAAGGUGGGGACGACGUCAAGUCAUCAUGGCCCUUAUGGGUAGGGCUACACACGUGCUACAAUGGUCGGUACAAAGGGCUGCGAACUUGCGAAAGUAAGCCAAUCCCAUAAAGCCGAUCUUAGUCCGGAUUGGAGUCUGCAACUCGACUCCAUGAAGUCGGAAUCGCUAGCAAUCGCGAAUCAGAAUGUCGCGGUGAAUACGUUCCCGGGCCUUGUACACACCG